Ornithodoros turicata is the source of this 3809-nucleotide long non-coding RNA. RefSeq lists it as uncharacterized. The record is from RefSeq and is a predicted model, not a curated record. The transcript has 3 exons. Lineage: Eukaryota; Metazoa; Arthropoda; Arachnida; Ixodida; Argasidae.
UUUAGUGAUUUGUAACUUAACUCGGUACAUUUGCGACGGGGUGACUUUCAGAGGAACUCAUUUCAUUUACAGGUAACUUCGUCAAAGUAACUUAUGCCAAGUCCAAAGUUACUUUUAAUUCGCUUUUCACUCACGUCCACUUAUUUUAUUGCUUUAUCUCCGGUUCUUUUCGGGCAUUUUAUGCCAGUGAUAUUCAAUCAAUUACAGUAUUCUACUCAGGAGGCAAGAACCGCUGCCACUGUAAUGAAGCUGAACCAUUGUGCGCCCAAAGGGAAUAACAUGCAAAGCGUUGCAAAUUGUUGGGCAUAAACGGCAGGCAACUCAAGGUCGAGCUCAACUGCUCACACGCGCUGUACCUGUGUACUGCUAUUUUGUGUCCACAGUAACUUUGAAGUAGCUCGUUCCUUUUUUAAGUAACUCUGUAACUGGGAAGGGAGUUGCCUCAGGACAGAAGCCGCCGGUAUUUCCAACAGAGACUGUUCUUCUUCUGGGCACCGUCCUCAUCAUUGGCAUGGUAUUUAAAGGGUUAGGUGUGACGUGUUUAAAGGUUCAUGCGAAUUGUGUGUCAACAGCCCGGAGGGAAGAAAGGUUCCGUACGGGCUUCUACGGCCGGACUGAAUGGCUGCUUUGUUAGAGUGUGGAGGGGAUUGUGUGAACUUUGUGAUCUAGGCUACAGACCGAUUACAGAGGAAUGGAAGGUUCACGAACACGUGGGCGAAACGGGACAACAGGCAAGAAUUGGCAAGCAUAGCGAAAGAUAAGGAGGUUAGUGGUUACGUGGGGAAAAUUCCAGAACGAGCAAAGGUUUCAUUUUUGUUUUAUUAAGCAUAUUUGUAAUACAAAGUUGUGGCAUGCAAUAAAGAAAGUAGAAAGCAGUGGCCAUGCAGAACAUAACAGAUGAUAAUGGAGGUAGAAGGGAAAAGCAUAUUUUAUUUGUGAAGUGUUUCUAGGGUGCCUUGUGAUUUGUUGAUACCGGACGGGUGAAGAGCGUUGAACUUGUAUAUGAGAUAAGACUCCCUAUCACGUCUGUCACGUGUGGAUCUGAACCCGGUUUCUAGAAUAUAUAGUUUAAUGUUGUCAAAAUUGUGACCAGGAACGUUAAAGUGUUCGGCGACUGCUUUGGGGAGUUUGGAAUAUCUUGUGAUGAAACUUAUUUGGCACGCGUCAGGAUUUUUUCGGUUUUCCAGAACCUCGUCUCGAUCGAGUGUGAGUGCCUUGCGACGGAAUUCGGUUAGGAGGGAGUCUGGACAGUCCCUUUGGGCAAGUGUACUGCAGAGUUCGUCAAGCUUCUCAGCGUAAUCUGCGUCGUUUGAACAAAUUCUGCGUAGUCUUACACUCUGCCCAUUAGGAACUCCAACCUUACAGUGACGCGGGUGGUGACUCUUGAAGUGAAGGUAUUGUUGUUUGUCAGUUGGCUUUUUGUACAGGGUUGUGAUGAGGUUGCCGUUGUCUAGUGAUAUUGUGGUGUCGAGGAAGUUAAUAAAGUGAGUUGACUGUUGUGAUGUGAACUUUAUGUUGCUAUGCGCGGUGUUCAGUAGAUCUAUGAACUUUUGAAAUUCAUGUUCCCCGUGUUCCCAUAUUAUCAGUAGAUCAUCGAUGUAUCGAAGGUACACCGUGGGUUUUAAUGAGAGGGCGCUGAGAACUUUGUUUUCUAAGAACCCCAUGAAGAUAUUUGCGUAUGUGGGUGCAACAGGUGUGCCCAUACUUGUACCGUGUACUUAUAGGUAGUAUUCGCCAUUGAACUCGAUGUAGUUCAGUUUAAGGACAAAGUCCAUUAGAGCGAGUAUGGUUUCUGUGUCUUUUCUGGUGUUUGUUGAAGAAAGGGUAUUGCAGAGGGCUGUGAUUCCGUCGUUGUGUGGGAUGUUAGUAUACUGUCACAUCCAGCGUGGCUAGUAUUGUGUCCCUACCAAAUGUACGAGUGUUGUUUAUAUCUCUGAUUAUUCUGAGGAGGUGGGGUGUGUCUUGUACAUGCGAUGGCAGUGUUGUCGGAAUAUGGUUUAAAGGGACUGUCGCAUCCGGAACCGUGGUUACGAAUCCAAUACCAACGUGUUCGGUACACUACCACCGAGCUAUUUGCCAAAUUUUCUCCUUCGAAAACGGACCGGGCGAUGAGGAAUCGAAUUUAAAAGAUCCGGUUUCGUUUUGAUCCUCGAAAGCGCCAGCGCCAACAACAUCGCGUGACGCAAGGUGGAAUCUGGCUAAUCCGCUUUGAAGGACGCUGUCGUCUGCCGCCAAGUCUGGGGCUGCUUUGUUUUUUUUCGGCACGUCGCACGUAUUCACAUGUGACACUUUCUAGUGACGCGGAUACUAUCUCUACGCUUGCAUCCUUCGCGUGAGAUGUCGUUUGGAAACCGACGCAGCGUUCCUGACUCCAGGAAAACUUCCUUCGAAAACCGCGAUGUUUGAUUUCGCACGCCAAGGAUACAGCUACAGCCAGACCCCAGACGAAGCGAAAGUUGGAAGCAGCUACAUCACUUGCGGGUAUCCAGAUGAAGCAAGGAGUGUUCAUGCUGUCCGUGUACGCUCCUCGCAUUUCACCGAUAAUGUGUACCUGGAUGAGAACAUCGUGCAAGUGCAACUUGGAUUGACACAAAAAAGGAACGAAUUGAAACUUGACGCCGUUCCGACAGUGUUCCACGAACAAAGCGAGCCAGCAACUUCGACAGUAACUCCCAAUGUCUAUGUAGUUUCCCAAUCGGAUCUGUCACUCUUGCGCGUGAGUAACUUAGCAGCAAAAGACGAAAUCGGUACAACGUAAGGUAUCCCCUAACCUAUGAUGAAUAACUAGAUAAAUAAAAUACAAUAAACAAGUAAAAGAACAUGAUGUCAUUCAUAUGAACGUGUUGGCUUUUCUCGUUGUCGGACGCGUUAUUAUGAAACUUUCCCUGUUACUGAACCUGUGACUUUUGUGGAAUGUGGUAGACAUGAUUGGUUUUCAUGUGUAUUACAGCUGCAGGCAGCUCGACAGGGUCAAGCGCAAGUGAAGGACCAGGUGCUGCUGAUCCAGGUCCCAUCCAUCCAUGAAACGGCAUCAAACAAUAACAGUGCUUUCUUCAUCCAAGUUCAAGAAGUAAAGAGAAUGACUUCAUGGCUUCUACUGACAUCUCACAGCUACAUGCCAAGACAAAAUAACUUGAAAGAAGAAAAAGAAAAAAAAAGAAAAGAAAAGGUCCUUUUCAGGUCCACCCAAAUCUUUGUGCAGAGGCUGACAACAACAACGUUAUUGUGAGAUGAUGAAUGAUGCUGAUGCAGCGUUGAGAUUAAGCCCUUGUUUCCUUUUUUUGCAAUGCUAUACAUUACUGCUGGUUAAAUGUAAAAUGAUGCAGCUACCUCCAGACAUUAAAGGGGCUACCAGAGAUGUAGUGUCAAUUCAACAGAAAAGCUGCAUGUUCUACGAGGCACUGUCACAUAAGCAUUGGCCAAAUUUGCUGUCCUGUGAGCUUUGAUAGAAUAUGCCGUAGAUAGUAAGAGGCCUCUUACUGUAAAAGGGAGGUGCAUUAUUCGAGUAGUGGGGUCUGAGGCAUGAGGGUCAUUUCAGGAUGUACUAAUCCUUCCAAUAAUUUUACACUUGGUUGUGCCCAGAAAUCGAUCCAGAUCCCCCCCAACACCCCGAGAUUUUUUCCUGUGUACAACUGUUAUAAUGAAACCGUCCAAUUUACUGUCCAACCGUCCCGUUUUCAUUGCAAUUGAAGUACUUACGAAACUGUUUAUUUUAUUUUUUAUUUUUGUGAGUCCCCGCUUCAGAUCCCAAGGGACAUUGCCAGUGUGGUGCACGCUGAUAACUGUCUGUGCAUAGCAAAUAAUAAAUA